RNAcentral lists this ribosomal RNA (253 nucleotides) under uncultured bacterium. Its description in RNAcentral is "partial 16S ribosomal RNA". It matches the Rfam family "Bacterial small subunit ribosomal RNA", at positions 524 to 776 of the family's 1533-position model. The record is from RNAcentral.
UACGUAGGGGGCAAGCGUUGUCCGGAUUUAUUGGGCGUAAAGCGCUCGCAGGUGGUUCGUCGCGUCGUGCGUGAAAGACCCCGGCUCAACUGGGGGAGGUCGUGCGAUACUGCCGGGCUAGAGUCCGGAAGAGGCGAGUGGAACUCCUGGUGUAGCGGUGGAAUGCGCAGAUAUCAGGAAGAACACCAACGGCGAAGGCAGCUCGCUAGGACGGUACUGACGCUGAGACGCGAAAGCGUGGGGAGCGAACAGG